Molecule: ribosomal RNA, 292 nt
Filed under: uncultured bacterium
Lineage: Bacteria
Description: partial 16S ribosomal RNA
Rfam family: Bacterial small subunit ribosomal RNA
Source: RNAcentral
GUGUCAGCAGCCGCGGUAAUACGGAGGGUGCGAGCGUUGUCCGGAAUCACUGGGCGUAAAGGGCGCGUAGGUGGCUUGGUAAGCGUGUGGUGAAAGCCUGGGGCUCAACCCCGGGUCGGCCAUGCGAACUGCCGAGCUUGAGCACUGUAGAGGCAGACGGAAUUCCGGGUGUAGCGGUGGAAUGCGUAGAGAUCCGGAAGAACACCGGUGGCGAAGGCGGUCUGCUGGGCAGUUGCUGACACUGAGGCGCGACAGCGUGGGGAGCAAACAGGAUUAGAUACCCUCGUAGUCC